RNAcentral lists this ribosomal RNA (253 nucleotides) under uncultured bacterium. Its description in RNAcentral is "partial 16S ribosomal RNA". It matches the Rfam family "Bacterial small subunit ribosomal RNA", at positions 524 to 776 of the family's 1533-position model. The record is from RNAcentral.
UACGUAGGGGGCAAGCGUUAUCCGGAAUUAUUGGGCGUAAAGCGUCCGCAGGUGGCACUUCAAGUCUGUCGUCAAAGACUGGGGCUUAACCCUGGAAAGGCGGUGGAAACUGAAGCGCUAGAGUGCGGUAGGGGUAGAGGGAAUUCCCGGUGUAGCGGUGAAAUGCGUAGAGAUCGGGAAGAACAUCGGUGGCGAAAGCGGCAUCCUGGACCAAUACUGACGCUGAGGAGCGAAAGCCAGGGGAGCAAACGGG